Molecule: long non-coding RNA, 10959 nt
Organism: Octopus bimaculoides (California two-spot octopus)
Lineage: Eukaryota; Metazoa; Mollusca; Cephalopoda; Octopoda; Octopodidae
Source: RefSeq, a predicted model, not a curated record
UAUAAUUGUUUUUCUACCAGUAAUUACAAAUAGAACAGGUUGAAUUGAUUCUUUUCAAGGCAGCGCUGUCAGUGGUCACUGGUAGCUGUAAACACAUUUGACCUUUGCUGACCCAAAGGGUGCGAAGAUUCUUUUGUCCCUAUGGCUGACCUCCCACAUAUUUAUAGACCUGUAGAAUAUGAUCUAUUCACCAAGCUACUACCCAACUAUUUCCUUCAACAAUCACAUAUUUAUGAUUAUCUCAAGUACAAGACAAAAUUUGAAAAUAAAGAACAUUUAGUAAAAUCUUUUAAUUAUAAAUGGAAAUAGUAAUAAUGAUAAUAACAAUGGUAGUGGUCGUGAUGGUGAUAAUGAUACAAAUAAAAAUAAUAAUAAUAUGCUGCAGCUGCUAAUACUAUAAAUACUACUAUUAUGAUAGCACAGGAAUCUGAGGCCCAUCUAUAACCCUAACCACUACUCCACCCCUGCUACUGUUACUGUUGCUGCAACCACUGCUGCUACUACACAUGAAAACUAUAAUAUCAGUGAUAUCAGCGAUGAUAAUAAUAAUAAAGAAAGGAAACGGGUGGAACUUCCCCAUGGACUGAUUGAUGAUACAUUUAGUGAUGGUGUCACAAUAAAAACACUGGUAAUUGCGCAACCUAAUAGCUGCUACCUCAUAUGAGUGACAAUGUAAAAACAAAAUAUUGUGAAUAACAGUGGUAAUGAAACUGAAUCCAAUGAUGGUGACAGUGUUACACUCAGUACGCUCAGAGAUUCUGGUCCGGCUCCAGCCUGUAGAUAUCCAGAAACUGACCACCACACACGGCGUAGGUAGAGCAAGCAAAUUGAUGCUGUGGUCAUGGAGUGUUACUACCUGAGCAGUCCGGUAUAUGAAAAUGGUGCUCAAAUUAGGGGUUACCAACAACGUAUUGGAGAGAAAAGGGAUCGUUUCAACUCACGGAACACAGACUAUGUGAUCAAGGUAGAGCGAUAAGAAAAAAUCGUUGGUUCGCAGAAGUAGAGCUAGAAACUGUUAAAAGACGGGUCUUGGAAAAUAGCAGCAGAGAUAACAAUGAAAAUACAGUUCUAACUAAUAAGAGUAAUCUCAUAGCGCAGGAAAGAAGCAGUGGUAGUUUACUUGAUGAGAGACAUAUAGAUGAUCUAAAAAAAGACAAUAAAACUAAUGGCGACAUGAUAGAUGAACAAAAAGUAAUCUACGGCAGAAUAAAGGCAAGACUACAAGAGAACGAUAGCGACAUUAUUUGCAACCUUUAAAAGGUUGAUCGAUGGAAAUUGAACAAAGAAACGAAAAAUGUCAAUGAAAUUCUGAAAUACAUCAAAACAAACAACAUCACAGAAAUAAAUAAUUUGAUCAAGGCAGCAAGUAUUGUUGUAGCAGAAAACGUGGGUAUUGAUGUCAAAAAAAAAAAAAAAUUGGGGGAGUGACAAAAGAAAAAAAUCCAUGGUGGAAAAGAAGAAUACAGAUAUGCUCUCGAAGGAAAUCUCUGUUAGACCGAAAAGAGAAAGGGGAUCUUAAAAGCGAACAGAAAUCACUGAAAAGGAAGUAUAUUGAAAGAAAGGACCUGAAGGUGGUGAUGGAAGAACUGAAACAGCGCCUCGUUGCAAAGAAAGCAAAGAUGGUAAGAUACGACCAAAGAAUGAAGGGUUACCACCAGAAUAGGUUUUUCAGAGCAGAUAAGAAGAGAUUCUACAAAGAAAUAAUGGAGAGUGUACAGAUGAAAAGUUGAUACCAGAUAAUAUUGAACGGCAAAGGCUUUGGAGUGACAUCUGGAGCAAAUACAAGGAGCACAAGAAGGAUGCUGAAUGGCUGAAAGAACUGAAACGAACAGUAGUCUGUCCAAAACAGGCAGAACUAGUCAUUUCAGUCAGGAAAGUGAAGGAAAUCAGCAAAAAGAUGAGCAACUGGAAGGCCCCGGGAUCACAUGGAGUUCAAGGCUACUGGAUCAAAAGAUAACUAAAUGGAACCGGGAAGAAUAUAAAGAAGUAAUAUACGCUUAUUACGUUGCAUUAAAUAGUCCAACCCAAGAGAAACACCUCAAACUCCUACAGAAUUUGGAGGAGCCGGAAUCCAGCUAGCAGACCAAACCUGUAUGAAAUGAGAUUAGCAAAUGUUAGAAGAGAUAUCUUCAGAAAUACCAGACUCACAGAUGCAGAAUUAACUUCUAUUAAAAAAGUGGUAGAGAAUGACCUAAAUAUAAGUCAGGAAAGAAAUAACAAAGCAGAGGAGAGGAAUUUUGGACCACAAGUAUUGACCGAAAGGCGACCAUCUGCCGAAACCACUCAAGAGCCUGAAGAAAAAGGAAAAUGUAAUGACCCUAGAAAAAAGUCAGGAAAAUGAUGUCAAAACAGAAUUUGGAGACCACAUAUUUGCUGAACAACACAGAAAAUCUACCAUUGAAACGAGAGAGGAAGUUCUGAAUGAGCUUGCAGUUGUAGGGUAUACAAAUAUGAAUGGUAGGGAACCACUCCAUAAACUCUCAAAUGCACACCAACAUAAAACACAAAUAAAAAUUGGCAACUGCGUUAUACAAGAAAUCAUACAACAACUAAAACCCGAUCUUAAUAAGUUAACUGAAAUUAUUUACUCUGUUGCUAAGGUAAUCGAAAGACGCUGUUUAACAUCCAAAAAACCAACAAUACCAAAUUCGAAAAGAAAAUCAAACUGGAGGAGUAGAAUUGAAACUGAUAUUGAGUCAUUGCGAAGGGAGCUAUCAUUAUUAACUGAGCUAAUCUCUGUAAAUGGUGUACGAUCAAGAAAAGGCAGGAAAAUUGUGAGAAAAUAUGGACUCUCAACAAGAGAAGAACUCAUGUCAGCAAAAGAAACACUUAAACAAAAAGUUCAAGCAAAAGCUCAGAGAAUACGCAGAUUUGAGAAAAGAAUCAAAUUCUACAAGCAAAAUAAGAUGUUCAAAUUCAAUGCCAAAUCAUUUUACAGGGAAAUAGAGAAAGAAAACAAAUAACCAUUGAAAAUCCACCCUUAAUGGGAGAAGUUGAAAACUUUUGGAAAGGGAUCUAGAGUGAUGAGAAACCAUACAAUGAAAAUGCAGAGUGGAUCAAACGCACCCAAGAUGCCUACAAAAAUUGACAAGAACAGGUAUGGGAAGACAUCUCAAUCGCCGACCUAAGGAGGGCACUAACGAAGGCUCAUAAGUGGAAAUCCCCUGGUAUUGAUAGAGUACCAAAUUUCUGGCUCUCAUCACUCUCGUCCGCACACAAAAUGUUAGAAUACUAUUUAAUAGUAUUAUGAAAGACCCGGAAAAAACUCCCCAUUGGAUGGCAAAUGGUAUUACUUACCUCCUCCCCAAAAAUAACGAAACCAAAAAUCCAAAAAACUACCGGCCUAUAACAUGUUUGUCUACUACCUAUAAGAUUUUGACAUCUAUUCUAGUGGAGAAAACAUAUACGUUUAUGGAAGAGAAUAACCUCUUUCCCACUGAACAAAAAGGAUGCAGACGAGGCUCAUACGGAUGCAAAGAUCAGCUCUUAAUUAAUCGUAUGAUCCUUGAGAACUACCUUAACAAGCGCAGAAAUCUCAGCUCUUCAUGGAUUGAUUAUAAAAAAGCCUUUGACAGCAUACCACAUUCGUGAAUUCUGAAAUCGCUGGACAUUUUCAAAAUUUCUCCUGUGAUUUCAGAUUUUUUAAAGUAUAAUAUGUCACUAUGGAACACGAAGCUCCAAUUAUAUCAUUCUAAUGGAGCAUUGCGCUCAAACAAUAUUAGCAUAAAUUGUGGCAUUUUCUAAGGUCACUCACUUUCACCACUAAUUUUCUGCAUAGCACUAAUACCACUCUCAAGCGAACUGAAUAGAACAGGGUAUGGCUACGAAAUUGACAACAGGAAAAUAAGCCAUCUAUUUUAUAUGGAUGAUUUAAAACUAUAUGGCGAAGAUGAUGAAGAGCUUGAAGGACUACUACAUACUGUGAAAGGAUUCAGUGAUGAUAUCGGGAUGGAGUUUGGCCUUGAAAAGUGUGCCAAAGCCACUUUUUAGAAAGGGAAACUGGUAAAGUCAAGUUCAAUCGAAUUAGAUGUCUAAACAGUAAUAAAAGCACUUGAGCAGGAACAAACUUAUAAAUACCUAGGAAUAAAUGAAGGCUCUGGUAUCCAACAUGCAAGCAUGAAAGAGAAGGUUAGGAAGGAAUGUAUAGAAGAGUUCGAGCAGUCCUGAAGUUUGAGUUGAAUGCAUAUAAUAAGCUGUUAGCCAUAAAUUCCUUAGCAGUCCCAGUUGUUCUUUAUAGCUUCAAUGUACUUAACUGGAAUACCAGUGAAAUAAUGAAAAUGGAUAGAAAAAUCCGGAAGCAACUGACUUGUAAUAAGAUGCAUCAUCCAAAGGCAGACGUGGAUCGUCUUUACGUUCCCAGAACUCAGUGAGGUCGAGGCUUCAUCCAGCUUGAACUUACGUACAAAACCACCACAAUCGGACUGGCCAAAUACCUUGAAACAACCAAAGAUUGGAUGUUGUAACUUGUAGAAAAACAUGAAAGACCGAAAAAACACUCUAUUCUGAAAGAGAGCAAAAAAUUCGCUACUGAUCUCUUAGAUACCUACCAGAUUGAUCAGGUUGAAGGAAAUGUGCCAACCGCUGCUGCAAAGAAAAUAAAAUUAAUGGCAAAGACAAAAGCACAUGAAAAAUUAGCUAGUAGAUGGGAACAGAAACCUCUGCAUGGCAAGUAAGUGGCUCGUAGCAAACAAGCUGAUGUCGACCAGAAACACGCAUCAAUGGUUACGAAAUUCAGUGCUAAAAGCAGAGAGUGAAGGUUUCAUAUUAGCUGCUCAAGACCAAAGCUUAUUAACCCGGAGCUACCAGGCCAAUGUGAUAAAGUAUGGAGCUGACCCAAAAUGCCGAUUCUGUAACGAUGAGAUUGAAACUAUAGACCACCUGAUUUCAGGGUGUAGAGUCUUAGCACCUGUAGAAUAUAAAGCAAGAUAUGACAGAGUCGGCCAGUAUUUACACUGGACAAUAUGUCGGCAUUAUAAAAUCAAAACCGCUGACAAAUGGUAUAAACACCAUCCUGAAGCUGUGAUUGAGGGAGAAAAUGUAUCGAUUCUCUUGUAGAAUCUCUAGGAAUGAUAAAAAAAAGGGUACUGAAACCUGUAUGAAAAUGAUACCAGGCUUACCAUCCCUGCAGGAAGUGCAAAAAAUCGUGUUGACUGGAACGACUUAUGUACUGAGAAGAGCAUUAUCGCUGUGAAAACAACAUCCAUUCAUGAAUUUAUUUAUUUAUUUAUUAAUUUAUGAAUUUGCGUGUGUAAACUGGGAAUGCAUACAAUGAGCAUCUCUGCCCUAGGUGUACGGAAAACACUUGGCGAGAAAUGGAAGAAAAUUUGAAGAAAGAAGAAAAAAUAAUAAAGCAAUAAAUAAUAAUAAUAACCAGGGACUUUUAACAUGUGAGAGCAGUGAAACACUGCUCCAAAAUCUAUCGAAAAACAUCGGGAAUAAAGUCAUCACAUGGAGCCAAAAAUAGUUGACAAAAUGUUGGACUAUAUCCGAGUAAGUAAUACUCAUUGAAACUUAUUUCUAUUUUCCAAAUGAAAUCAUGUAUUUUAACUGUAUAUCAUUUCCACAACGCGCACAGCACAUGUAAACACGCUUGCCACAUUACGAUCCAAUCAACACCAGACCAUCUCCGUCCCCAAACACCAUGUACAAAAUAAAUAAAUUAAUUAGUUAAAUAAUAUCGGUGUUAUUCAACCCAAGAAUAACAAUCGGGAAGUAUGUACUUUAAACUUGUUACACAAAAAGUACGAAAAAUUACAUGUACAGUACAAUUUAACACCAGAAAUGAAAGGACCGGUACCCUACGAAAAUGAUGACCGUCAAAAUAAAGGGCCGGACGUUAUUCCUCAUGUCCCGCAGAUAAAAUCAGAAAGCAUAUAUGGACACGAGAGGAAUAUAUUUACGCUUAUUUUACAGUAGUGCUCUACCCAAAGAAUGAAAACACCACAACAUAUACAUAUAAAAUCUGGAAAAAAAAGCCUAAAUAAAGACUUGAAUACAGCAUUGAACCCUAAUAAACUAGUUAACAUACGAAAAUAUAUUCUCAAAACAAAAACAAUGAAAAUAAUAUCAGAAAUAGAAAUAGAACACUUAAUAGGAAAAAUACAUCAGGAAAAUGUAGAUAGUAACCACACAUCAAUGCUAAAUAAUAUCAUAAGCAUCAGAACUGUAAAACAUGAAGACAGGCGUAACAUUUCCAACAAAAGCGAAGUGAACAAACCCAGACCGUAGGAAUGUAUAAUGAUGCGCAAAAAGCACCAAACCAGAACACCACAGACAAAUAUAUGAACGGGAAGGAAGGCGAAACAAAUCUAAAACCUGGAAACAGUGAAGGUGAACCUAAUGAUUGUGAUACUCUAAAAUGAGCAUAAUCAAAGAAAUGAAAGCCACAGAUCUCAGUAUGGACCACCGAAUGUACCUCCCAAAAAUUAGAAUUGAUACUAAAACAACGUCACAGAACUAAUAGCCACAGAAAGAAAUGUCAAUAUCAUCGGGCUAAAUAACAUAAUAUAUGCAGCAGCCACUGUAGCCACAAAAGAAGCUGGAUACUCCCUCAGACCCAUCCAAACAAGAGUACCACCACCCAAACAAACACUGUGGAUAAAUAAUAUCCAGAAAACAAGAGAAAACAAGAGAAAAGACCUGUCAAUCCUUAACGAAACUAGUAGACAUUCAACACCACUAAGCAACAAGAAGAGAACAAAGAUACUGUGCCAAUACAACAUUACAGUAAAAGGUUUACCUGAGGUAAAAGAACAACAAAAGCAAGAUAUCCUUGCCAAAGCACAAAGGACGAGAAACGCCAACGUUUCUUUGAACAAAACAAACAGUUCAACUUCAACCUCAAACGAUUCUACCAGGAACUUGGCAAAAAUAAAAUAGGCAUCAAUGCGGCAUCAACAGCAGAAGAAGUGAAAGAAUUUUGGAAAGAAAUAUGGUCGGCGAAGAAACAACCUCAGAAAAUGUCGAUCAAAACAACGAACUCAUUACCUGAACAACUCUGGACCCCUAUAGCGACUGAAGAGGUCGCCCAGGAACUGCAAAACUAAGCAGCUGGAAGGCACGAUAAGAUCCCCAACUUCUGGUUAAGACAUCUGACAGGAACACACAAAAAGCUGGUUGAGAAAUUUAAUAACAUACUAGCAGAAACAGAGACAAUCCCUGAAUGGCUCUCGAAAAGGAAUCUUAAUUCCCAAAUCCACUGAAACGGCAAACCCACAAAAUUACAGACAAAUAACUUCUCUUCCUACAAUUUACAAAGCCUUUACUGCAAUAAUAUCGCAAAGAAUGGGCAAGCACCUGGAAGAAAACAACCUGUUUCCAGAAGGGCAGAAGGGAUGCUGCAAGGGCUCAUACGGCUGUAACGAUCAACUAGUGAUCAAUAAAGCCAUAUCUGAAGACAGCCGCAGAAAGACGAAAGGUCUAAACAUGACCUGGAUCGAUUACUGAAAGGCUUUUAAUAGUAUUCCCCACACAAGGAUCCUAGAAACACUAGCCAAGAACAAGGUAGCACCAAUAAUCAUAAAAUAUAUAAUCAGUUGAGUAUGUCACCUGGUGGCUGAUGAUAUGUGCAUCUCUGAUCUUGAGCAGAAGUAGUGGGAGAGCAUCAUAGCCAUGUGUUGAGAGGAAUUCUUUGGGGUUUGAAUAAUUCACCUUUGGAAACAUGCGUAUUUUGCUCAAUAUCCUUAAAUAAACCUUAUUCAAGGACCUUUUGAGCGGGAUGGGCUACGCGACCUGACGAAAAUUCUAACUGGGCCCCACCUGCGAGGUCAUGCGCUGUUUAUCUUGAUAUGAGAUCACUAUGUCGCGUACAUAUGGUUGUGAUGCAUGUGCCGGGUGUACCCUUAUCAGACGGGUAGUCAUGAUGGAUAUAUUGGGCUUCGUAUAUUUUACCCCAGUGUCACUUUCAUGGCAUGCACUGCUCUCUCACUCAAUAAUAAUAAUAGGAAUAAUGAUGAUGAUAAUAAUAAUAAUAAUAAUAAUAAUAAUAAUAAUAAUAAUAAUAAUAAUAAUAAUGCCAACAACUAUGAGAACCUCAUCGCGCCAGAUUCACCAGCUCUCAAGAAAUCAGGACAUCUAUUCUUUUUAUCACCAAAACAUAUAAAAGGAUUAAUCUGAAUAAUAAUACCAUGGAUAGUACUAACAACCCCCUUGAAUAUAGCAUGUUGUUGGCACUCCGUCGAUUACGACGUCGUGGGUUCCAGUUGAUCCGAUCAAUCGAACAGCCUGAUCGUGAAAUUAACGUGCAAGUGGCUGAGCACUCCACAGACACGUGUACCCUUAACGUAGUUCUCGGGGAUAUUCAGCGUGACACAGUGUGACAAAGCUGACCCUUAGAAUUGCAGGCACAACAGAAACAGGAAGUAAGAGUAAGAGAAAGUUGUGGUGGAAGAGUACAGCAGGGUUCGCCACCAUCCCCUGCCGGAGCCUCGUGGAGCUUUAGUUGUUUUCGCUCAAUAAACACUCACAACGCCCGGUCUGGGAAUCGAAACCGCGAUCCUAUGAGCGCGAGUCAGCUUCCCUAACCACUGGGCCAUUGCGCCUCCACUGAAUAUAGCAUAUACAAGGAGGAUCAAUCUGAAGGAUGCAACUCAACUCAUUAUAAAUUUCCUAGUAAUAGAAACAAUAACAUACUUAAUUAAAAGUAUCCUAGACCGAAUGGCUCCAACUGCAACUUCAAAGUACGUGCUAAUUGUCAAUUGAAGAUUCAACGUCGUUUAUAAGGGCGCGGUCUUUAACAAACAGCGAAACUCUAUCAAGGUUUACAUUGGAGAAUCCGUCGACUUUAAAUGUCAGAACUGAGACCAGUUUAUCCAGUCGGGGUUCAAUUGAGGACAGUGCUUCGUGCAAUGCAGAAUGAAUAUCCAUAUUCUUUCUGUACUUUGUCUUAAUGAAAACUCACGGUUGAGAAGUCAGUCUCGCAGACGUAUGUUGAAGGAAAUGGAAGAGUUUUCAGAGAAAUUUCACUAAGCUCAGGAUAUUCUGCUUUCACUUUAAUCCAAAAACGAACCAAGAGAUGUUGUAGUUUCGAAAUUCCUCUUCAAUCCUGGUGACCCAGCCAGUUCCAACAAUUUAUCCUCCAUAAUGACACUUAAGUCAUCUUGCAGUGAAACAAACGGAUUUCGGAUCCAUCUAUUCCCUUUCCGUGGAUCUUCUUCUGCUGGAAAUUAAAAUUGAAACCGGUCUGCUAGAUUCGUCAAGUGUUCUUUGAUGACAUUUCGUAGAAAUGUAAUAUUAAGUUCUUCGCCAGCAUCAGCGAUGAUUGUCACUAAUUGAUGAAACAUGUCAUAACAAUCUCUUGACACUCGACUCUUCCAUACUUCUGGCUUUCGUUUCUGUCCGUCAAUCAUGUCUGCCAUUGUAAAACACGAAGCCAUCGUUCCCUGAAUGGAGGUGUUGAGAUCAUUAAAGAUGGCAAAGAUAUCAGCCAGAUAAGCCAGCUUGGCUAACCAAUCUACAUCUCCGCACAAUUGUGACCAAUUUGGAUUUUUGUCCAGAAGAAACUCGGCAAACUCGUUUCAUAGCUCAAACACUAUUGACAGACCUUUCCCCCUUGAUAACCAACGUACGUCGGCAUGCAAUAGGAGAUAUUUAUGAUUAGCUCCCAUGUUAUCACAUAAUGCAGUGAAUAGUCUCUAAUUUAAAGCAUUCGCCUUUACAUGUUCACAAUUUAUACAACCUCGCUCAGCACACUGCUUAGUUCUGUUGACAUUUUUUUGUUGUUGCAAGACUUUCUCGGUGAAGGAAGCAGUGCGUCGACUUGCAUUCUGGGUCAAGCGCCUUAAUCUGGGUAACCACUCCUGAAUGCCGUCCUGUCAUUGCAGCAGUGCCAUCAGAACACACGCUUUCACAAAACUUGAAAUCCAACCCACAUUUGUUAACAAUGUAGUCGCUCACAGUCUCGAACACUUCAGAACUACUUGUUUUUGUUGGUAGUGAGGCAGAGAAAAAAAAAACUCUUCCUUCAAAUCACCUUGUUCAAAGUGCACAAACACCAUCAGAAUUGCCUAAUUAGCAAAGUCUGUGCAUUCAUCAAGCUGCAAAGAAAAGCACUUUGCUAAUUUAAUCUGUCCUAUGAGCUGAUCUUCUAUUUCGUGAGCCAGAUUGUGAAUUCGUCGAGCUAUUUAUUGUGUUAUCUGAAAGUGGCACCUGAGCCACUUUCUUUGCCGCCGGCUCGCCUAGCAUUUCGAUGUAGACAUCUUGAAUACAGCCUACCACUAGCGUCUCACCGAUUGUGUAUGGCAUUUUAGCCUUAGCAAUUCGAAUCGCUACUUUAUAAGAAGCCUGCAAAGCACAAGUAUUUAUGUGUGACACUUCAAAGAUCUGUUUCUGACGGCCUUUUAAAUCAACAUGCUUUCUUUCAAAGAAUUAUUUUGGCUUUGAACUCAUUUCUUUAUGUUUUGUAUUUAAUUGUCUCUUGAGAUUUGAUGGUUUCAUUGAGUCCUUAGCCAACACAUCUCCAGAAAUUAAACUCUGUGUGAUUUUUGCAUUCCCCCAUCAUUCAUGGCUACAAAAGCGAAUUGAAGUACGAGGAGUCAUAUUACCAAGUGAAGCUAGUUCGAAUUCUUUUUGCCGGCAAUACCUCGGUUUCAUUUACCUCGCCGUCAUCUGAUCCAAAAUCGCGUUCAGCAACCGAAUGUCUCGGAUUGAUAAAUAUGUCCAUAGGACCUCACUUCGCCACCUGUAAAUAUUUACAAUACGCAUUUUGAAUCCACUCUUCGAUUUUACAAUAGGAUGAAUUUAUAUUGAAUUCAUUUAUUUUGUUCAUUGCAUACGUUAGACCGUUACUUGAAAGGAUCAAUGAAAUAAAUCCAUUUUUAAAUGUGUAUCCUUUAACUAGUUUUGAUUACAUCGUUAUUUCUGUUCCAUUUUAACAAAACUGUCCGACGAACGGGAACGUGAAACUCUGAGUAACAGCUUUUGUUAUAUUUCUGCUGCUUUUAAAUAAAGCAUAUUACUCUA